This is a long non-coding RNA of Rhinopithecus roxellana (golden snub-nosed monkey), 2998 nucleotides long. RefSeq lists it as uncharacterized. The record is from RefSeq and is a predicted model, not a curated record. Lineage: Eukaryota; Metazoa; Chordata; Mammalia; Primates; Cercopithecidae. The transcript has 5 exons.
GCGGAGCUUGCAGUGAGCUGAGAUCCGGCCACUGCACUCCAGCCUGGGCGACAGAGCGAAAAGAAAAGGAAGAGACAAAACUAUCAUUAUUUGCAUAUGAAAAUGAUAAAUGUUAGACAGUCAAAGAAGCCUAAGAGAAUCAGCUAAGAUUUUAGUGGAAGCAAUAUGAGGAUUCAGUACGGUGGCUAGAAACAAAAUCAAGAGAGCAGCACACAAAAGUCAAAUACUUGUCAGAUGUACCACCAAUAACUAAUUAGAAAAUGGAAGUAAGUCCCAUUUACAAUGGCAAUACAAAUGUAUGAAGUAUUUAGGAAGAAAAAUACAAAGAUCUGUUAUGUAACAAAAGACGUGUAAGAUCUGUAUGAUGGAAACCCUAAAACUCUUCUGAAAGACAUUAACAAGAAAUGAAUAAAUGACAUGAAAUACCACGUUCCCAGAAUGUUGUACAGAUGUCAAUUCUCAAAUUAAUCUACAAAUUUAAGGUAAUCCUAUUCAAAUCCCAAGAUAGUUUUUGGUGGUAGCUAUUUUUAAGACAGGGUCUCGCUCUGUUGUCCAGGCUAGAGUGCGGUGGUAUGACCACAGCUCACUUCAUCCUCAACCUCCCAGGCUCAAACAAUCCUCCCACUUCAGCCUCUGAAGUCUCUCAUAUGGUGUCCAAGAAAUGGGGACAAAUCUCACAAAGGGACUAGGCUCAGGAGGGCUGGAAUAUUCAGGGAAGGUGUUUUUUUUGUUUUGUUUUGUUUUUGUUUUUGGAGGCAGAGUCUCGCUUUGUCACCAAAGCUCGAGUGCAGUGGCCCGAUCUUGGCUCCCUGCAUGCUCUGCCUCCCAGGUUCACGCCAUUCUCCUGCCUCAGCCUCACGAGUAGCUGGGACUACAUGCGCCUGCCACCACGCACAGCUAAUUUUUUGUAUUUUUAGUAGAGACAGGGUUUCACUGUGUUAGCCAGGAUGGUCUCGAUCUCCUGACCUCAUGAUCCGCCGCCUCAGCCUCUGAAAGUGCUGGGAUUACAAGCGUGAGCCACCGCGCCUGGCCUAUUCAGGGAAGGUUUCAAGCAGAAAGAUGAACUUGAGUUGGCUUUGGAGAGAUUCAUGGGACUCCCACAGGCAGAGUGAAAUAAGGGCAUUUUAGAUGGACAAAUGCACAGACAAGAGCAGAAAUGCGGAUGGUGUGACUGGGGUAUGGUGAGGGGCUGAUCUGGCUGGAAUGGAGGGCUGCCACAAUAAUGGAAAUGGUAAAUGAGGCAAAUAAGGUUGGAUUGGGAGCAUGGCGUCAAGGUUGCCAGCUUAUUAAAUCACUCUUCCAAUAUGCUAGCAGUGGCCUCUUGGGAAAAGUAAUACAUCAUGUAAUCGAACAAAAGGCAAACAGAGGCAAGCUCCAGGAAUGGGCACUGUGAACAGGACUCGCCCCAGAGUAGCCAGAUGUAGGCUUUAGACAUGUUAAUGCAGGUUGAGCAUCUCUGAGCCGAGGGGGAAUGUCUCACAUGGUGUCCAAGAAAUGGUGACACAUCUCACAGAGGGCCGAGGCUCAGGAGGGCUGGAGUAUGAGACAUUCCCCCUCCCCUGUGAACUUAAAAAUGUGGCCAACAAUUUUUUUUUUAAAUGGCUACUCUGUAGUGCUUUAACUGGACCUAUUUAGACAAUGCCUUACACACUGGAAAAGGAUGAUACUGUGUGAAUCUAAUAAGUCUACAAGACAAUAGUUCUCUCUAUUGGCUGUCUCCUUCCUCUCCAGGGUGAUGACAACUUCGUGAGGGUGAUUAUACGUCUCUCAUCAUUUCAGCAACAAGGAAAUAAAUUAGUGGCAGAGUAAGGGGUGACUUGGUGAGUACAUCUAAUUGUUGACAUCGUUUUACGUGGGAGAAAUUUUGCUAUUACAUCAACUUCUUAAAAUAGUCUAGUGGGAUUAACUUGGUUUCAUUUCACAGAGACCUCCUGGAAAUGAGGAUCCUUUAAAAUCCUGGAAUAUAUACUGCAGUAAAAGAACAAAGUAUACCUCAGCCUUAAAGGACUGAAAAAGAAUGUCAAGUAGCAGCAGCUGAGAUCUUGUUGCUGCACUCCAGCAACGAGGCUCUGUCUCAAAAAAAAAAGAAAAAGAAAAAGAAAAAUCUGCUGGGUCGAGUGCGGUGGCUCACACCUGUAACUCAAGCACUUUGGGAGGCCGAGGCGGGUGGAUCAAUUGAGUGAACAAGAAAAAGAAAAGAAAUAGGAAGAAAUAAAAGAAAAUCAGCCUUUACAUUAACCCAAGAAUCAUCACUUUUGCAGAAAUUAUAAAAAUAAUAAUAAUUACAACCAACUGAAUCAGUAACCACGAGGGCGGAGUCCGGAACUGAGUUCUAACGCGCCCUCUCAGUGAUUGUGAUGCAGAUCUAUCUACAGCACUGCUGCAGUAACACGGUUCCCCACGAUGGCUCCUCAGCUGGGCAUUCAAAGCCCUAGAAGAUCUGGUUCCAAUGUCCUACUCUCCCUCCUUGUACUCUACAGAGCUAUCAGCUUCCCAGUUUGCGCAAUUCAUCAAGAAACAAUGUGGGGCCACUGGCACAAAUGAUGAGGCAUCUCCCGGAAGCUUAACUUCCUAUCCAUCCCAUCUCUUGGACAGACGAUGCCAGUUAUUACUUUGAAUGUAAGUAUUUUAUCAAAAAGCACUUAUGUGUCUAAACAAACUCCUACAAAUCAACACAAAAAUGGUAAAUAAUUCAACAGAAAAAUAGGCAAAAGCUUAUCACUAUCAAUAAAUAAGCAGAAAGAAACCCUACGCCAGGUAGCACCAAAGCUUUGCCCUCUGUUGAAACAUCCUAGGCUUUUUCUUUCCACUCUUAUUACAACCGAUCUGAUUUGGCCCCUUCACACUUUACUCCUACGUUUUGCAAGACCUUUCUAAGUUGUCUCCCUGAAAUAAGCUUUUCCUUUUGGGCGCUCUACAUAGGGAUUCUAAAAUAAUCCUUUGCAUGUCUACACUUGAACAUAAAGCAAAAAACAAAAUAAAAUAAUUCUCCUGUUUU